GACGAGCGGCGGUGGGGCGAGUAAUGUCUGGGAAACUGCCUGAUGGAGGGGGAUAACUACUGGAAACGGUAGCUAAUACCGCAUAACGUCGCAAGACCAAAGUGGGGGACCUUCGGGCCUCAUGCCAUCAGAUGUGCCCAGAUGGGAUUAGCUAGUAGGUGGGGUAACGGCUCACCUAGGCGACGAUCCCUAGCUGGUCUGAGAGGAUGACCAGCCACACUGGAACUGAGACACGGUCCAGACUCCUACGGGAGGCAGCAGUGGGGAAUAUUGCACAAUGGGCGCAAGCCUGAUGCAGCCAUGCCGCGUGUGUGAAGAAGGCCUUCGGGUUGUAAAGCACUUUCAGCGGGGAGGAAGGCGUUAAGGUUAAUAACCUUGGCGAUUGACGUUACCCGCAGAAGAAGCACCGGCUAACUCCGUGCCAGCAGCCGCGGUAAUACGGAGGGUGCAAGCGUUAAUCGGAAUUACUGGGCGUAAAGCGCACGCAGGCGGUCUGUCAAGUCGGAUGUGAAAUCCCCGGGCUCAACCUGGGAACUGCAUUCGAAACUGGCAGGCUAGAGUCUUGUAGAGGGGGGUAGAAUUCCAGGUGUAGCGGUGAAAUGCGUAGAGAUCUGGAGGAAUACCGGUGGCGAAGGCGGCCCCCUGGACAAAGACUGACGCUCAUGUGCGAAAAGCGUGGGGGAGCAAACAGGAUUAGAUACCCUGGUAGUCCACGCCGUAAACGAUGUCGAUUUGGAGGUUGUGCCCUUGAGGCGUGGCUUCCGGAGCUAACGCGUUAAAUCGACCGCCUGGGGAGUACGGCCGCAAGGUUAAAACUCAAAUGAAUUGACGGGGGCCCGCACAAGCGGUGGAGCAUGUGGUUUAAUUCGAUGCAACGCGAAGAACCUUACCUGGUCUUGACAUCCACAGAACUUAGCAGAGAUGCUUUGGUGCCUUCGGGAACUGUGAGACAGGUGCUGCAUGGCUGUCGUCAGCUCGUGUUGUGAAAUGUUGGGUUAAGUCCCGCAACGAGCGCAACCCUUAUCCUUUGUUGCCAGCGGUUCGGCCGGGAACUCAAAGGAGACUGCCAGUGAUAAACUGGAGGAAGGUGGGGAUGACGUCAAGUCAUCAUGGCCCUUACGACCAGGGCUACACACGUGCUACAAUGGCAUAUACAAAGAGAAGCGACCUCGCGAGAGCAAGCGGACCUCAUAAAGUAUGUCGUAGUCCGGAUUGGAGUCUGCAACUCGACUCCAUGAAGUCGGAAUCGCUAGUAAUCGUAGAUCAGAAUGCUACGGUGAAUACGUUCCCGGGCCUUGUACACACCGCCCGUCACACCAUGGGAGUGGGUUGCAAAAGAAGUAGGUAGCUUAACCUUCGGGAGGGCGCUUACCACUUUGUGAUUCAUGACUGGGGUGAAGUCGUAACAAAGGUAACC
RNAcentral lists this ribosomal RNA (1417 nucleotides) under Klebsiella sp. EH47. Its description in RNAcentral is "16S ribosomal RNA". It matches the Rfam family "Bacterial small subunit ribosomal RNA". The record is from RNAcentral. Lineage: Bacteria; Pseudomonadati; Pseudomonadota; Gammaproteobacteria; Enterobacterales; Enterobacteriaceae.